This is a non-coding RNA of Heterocephalus glaber (naked mole-rat), 292 nucleotides long. The record is from Rfam. Lineage: Eukaryota; Metazoa; Chordata; Mammalia; Rodentia; Bathyergidae.
GGAGAAGGGGAUCUGGCUGCGACAUCUGUCACCCCAUUGAUCACCAGGGUUGAUCUGGCUGAUCUGGAUGCCUAGGUGGGUGUCCCCCUUCCUCCCUCACCGCUCCAUGUGCAUCACUAGUGAAGCUGUGAGCUCAGUCAGAGAAGGACCAUACCCAAUAGAGGAGGACAGUUUCCUCUGUCAAGGGUAUAUAAGUAGUUUCACUCCCCUGCUAGACCCUCCAAACAAGCUCUCAAAAGUUCAAGGCCUGGGCCUGGGAUUUACCUCAGUGGUGCUGCGCCUGCCUCCCAAG